RNAcentral lists this transfer RNA (67 nucleotides) under Ruminococcus sp. RNAcentral describes it as "tRNA-Cys". The record is from RNAcentral. Lineage: Bacteria; Bacillati; Bacillota; Clostridia; Eubacteriales; Oscillospiraceae.
CCGAGACAACUGAAAGUCAGCUACAGCAAAAAGUGGUCUUACGCAGGUUCGAAUCCUGCCCUGCGGA